ACGCUCGACACCUACGGGGGGCAGCAGUGGGGAAUAUUGGGCAAUGGGCGCAAGCCUGACCCAGCAACGCCGCGUGAAGGAAGAAGGCUUUCGGGUUGUAAACUUCUUUUAUCAGGGAAGAUGAAUGAGACUGUACCUGAUGAAUAAGCCACGGCUAACUACGUGCCAACAGCCGCGGUAAUCUGAGCGGGCUGGCAAGGC
RNAcentral lists this ribosomal RNA (201 nucleotides) under uncultured bacterium. RNAcentral describes it as "partial 16S ribosomal RNA". It matches the Rfam family "Bacterial small subunit ribosomal RNA", at positions 328 to 539 of the family's 1533-position model. The record is from RNAcentral.